This 649-nucleotide ribosomal RNA is filed under the name uncultured bacterium. Its description in RNAcentral is "bacterial SSU rRNA". It matches the Rfam family "Bacterial small subunit ribosomal RNA", at positions 93 to 740 of the family's 1533-position model. The record is from RNAcentral.
UAGUGGCGGACGGGUGAGGAAUACGUAGGAAUUUGCCCUUAAGUGGGGGAUAGUCCGGGGAAACUCGGUUUAAUACCGCAUGAUCUGUAAGAGCAAAGCAGGGGACCGCAAGGCCUUGCGCUUUUGGAGAAGCCUACGUCGGAUUAGCUAGUUGGCGGGGUAACGGCCCACCAAGGCAACGAUCCGUAGCUGGUCUGAGAGGACGAUCAGCCACACCGGAACUGAGACACGGUCCGGACUCCUACGGGAGGCAGCAGUGGGGAAUAUUGGACAAUGGGCGCAAGCCUGAUCCAGCAAUGCCGCGUGUGUGAAGAAGGCCUUCGGGUUGUAAAGCACUUUAGGCUGGGAAGAAAAAGCUUCACCUAAUACGUGGAGCCUUGACGGUACCGGCGAAAUAAGCACCGGCUAACUCUGUGCCAGCAGCCGCGGUAAUACAGAGGGUGCUAGCGUUAAUCGGAAUUACUGGGCGUAAAGCGUGCGUAGGCGGUUUCGCAAGUCCGCUGUGAAAGCCCCGGGCUUAACCUGGGAAUGGCAGUGGAAACUAUGGGACUUGAAUCUGGCAGAGGGGGGUGGAAUGCCACGUGUAGCAGUGAAAUGCGUAGAGAUGUGGCGGAACACCGAUGGCGAAGGCAGCCCCCUGGGCCAAGAU